CCUACGGGGGCAGCAGUGGGGAAGAGUGGGCAAGGGGCGCAAGCCCGACCCAGCAACGCCGCGUGAAGGAAGAAGGCUUUCGGGGUGUAAACUUCUUUUCUGAGGGACGAAGAAAGUGACGGUACCUCAGGAAUAAGCCACGGCUAACUACGUGCCAGCAGCCGCGGUAAUACGUAGGUGGCAAGCGUUAUCCGGAUUUAUUGGGUGUAAAGGGCGUGUAGGCGGGAAAGCAAGUCAGAUGGGAAAACUCAGGGCUCAACCCUGAGCCUGCAUUUGAAACUUUUUUUCUUGAGUGCUGGAGAGGCAAUCGGAAUUCCGUGUGUAGCGGUGAAAUGCUUAGAUAUACGGAGGAACACCAGUGGCGUAGGCGGAUUGCUGGACAGUAACUGACGCUGAGGCGCGAAAGCGUGGGGAGCAAACAGGAUUAGAUACCCGGGUAGUC
This 442-nucleotide ribosomal RNA is filed under the name uncultured bacterium. Its description in RNAcentral is "partial 16S ribosomal RNA". It matches the Rfam family "Bacterial small subunit ribosomal RNA", at positions 338 to 795 of the family's 1533-position model. The record is from RNAcentral.